Molecule: long non-coding RNA, 773 nt
Organism: Xiphophorus maculatus (southern platyfish)
Lineage: Eukaryota; Metazoa; Chordata; Actinopteri; Cyprinodontiformes; Poeciliidae
Exons: 3
Source: RefSeq, a predicted model, not a curated record
CAAUUUUGACUUCCAACGAUUCACUUCCUGCUAAAGAGCCCCCUGGUGGUUGAAGAAAAAUCUACCGGGCUAUGAGCCGCAUGAUUCAAAGCGUGGGGAAAAAAGUAGCGGCUUAUAGUCUGAAAAAUACGAUGUGUGUGUGUAUAUACAUAUAUAUUUGCAAAUGCUAUCACUUUUGCAGGUGUCAGAGUGUGCUGUUUGCCAGUCUGCAGGACAUAAAUAAAGGACUCCGUUGAGCACACUCCAAUAAAGGUUUCACAACCGUUUGAGCUUUUUGGAAUGGACCUAAUAGGGAAAGUGAAAACCACCGAAAGUAGAAAUCAUUACAUCUGCGUGAUGACUGAUUAUUACACCAAAUGGACACAGGCAUACCCGAUUACCUCAUAAACAGCAGAAGAGGUCACAAAACAAAUACUUAAAUUUCUUUCAAUUUGAGGUACCAAAAACUCUGAUCAAGGCACAGAGUUUGUGAAUUCGAUAAACAAGAACGUCUGUGAAAAACUUGGGAUUGAAACAAGUCUCUGCACACCGUACCAUCCACAGACAAACGGUUUGGUAGAUAGAAUGAACGGCACUAUCCAAUGGUGACUGUUACUCAUCUACAAUUAGAGUCCCAAUUUCACAAGUUUUAAUCAUAUUAUAAUGUUAAUAUUAAAAUAUUUCUUUUCAGAUCUCUGUGCAAACUUGUGGGGUCCAAACCAGAAACUUGGGACGAGUUUCUGGACACAGUAAUUGUUGGAGCUAUUUAUUCUUUAUUUCUUUAUCCAUUUGAA